UACGAAGGGGGCUAGCGUUGCUCGGAAUCACUGGGCGUAAAGCGCACGUAGGCGGACUCUUAAGUCGGGGGUGAAAUCCUGGGGCUCAACCUCAGAAUUGCCUCCGAUACUGGCAGUCUCGAGUGCGGGAGAGGUGAGUGGAAUUCACAGUGUAGAGGUGAAAUUCGUAGAUAUUGGGAAGAACACCAGUGGCGAAGGCGGCUCACUGGCCCGUAACUGACGCUGAGGUGCGAAAGCGUGGGGAGCAAACAGG
Molecule: ribosomal RNA, 253 nt
Filed under: uncultured bacterium
Lineage: Bacteria
Description: partial 16S ribosomal RNA
Rfam family: Bacterial small subunit ribosomal RNA
Source: RNAcentral